Molecule: ribosomal RNA, 681 nt
Filed under: Medicopsis romeroi
Lineage: Eukaryota; Fungi; Ascomycota; Dothideomycetes; Pleosporales; Neohendersoniaceae
Description: SSU rRNA
Rfam family: Eukaryotic small subunit ribosomal RNA
Source: RNAcentral
CUUGGAUAACCGUGGUAAUUCUAGAGCUAAUACAUGCUAAAAACCUCGACUUCGGAAGAGGUGUAUUUAUUAGAUAAAAAACCAAUGCCCUUCGGGGCUCUUUGGUGAUUCAUGAUAACUUCUCAGAUCGCAUGGCCUUGCGCCGGCGACGGUUCAUUCAAAUUUCUGCCCUAUCAACUUUCGAUGGUAAGGUAUUGGCUUACCAUGGUUUCAACGGGUAACGGGGAAUUAGGGUUCGAUUCCGGAGAGGGAGCCUGAGAAACGGCUACCACAUCCAAGGAAGGCAGCAGGCGCGCAAAUUACCCAAUCCCGACACGGGGAGGUAGUGACAAUAAAUACUGAUACAGGGCUCUUUUGGGUCUUGUAAUUGGAAUGAGUACAAUUUAAACCUCUUAACGAGGAACAAUUGGAGGGCAAGUCUGGUGCCAGCAGCCGCGGUAAUUCCAGCUCCAAUAGCGUAUAUUAAAGUUGUUGCAGUUAAAAAGCUCGUAGUUGAACCUUGGGCCUGGCUGGCAGGUCCGCCUCACCGCGUGUACUUGACCGGCCGGGCCUUUCCUUCUGGAGAACCUCAUGCCCUUCACUGGGUGUGCUGGGGAACCAGGACUUUUACUUUGAAAAAAUUAGAGUGUUCAAAGCAGGCCUUUGCUCGAAUACGUUAGCAUGGAAUAAUAGAAUAGGACG